Molecule: ribosomal RNA, 120 nt
Filed under: uncultured bacterium
Lineage: Bacteria
Description: partial 16S small subunit ribosomal RNA
Rfam family: Bacterial small subunit ribosomal RNA
Source: RNAcentral
CAUACUCGUACGGGAGGCAGCAGUGGGGAAUUUUGCCCAAUGGGGGAAACCCUGAGGCAGCAACGCCGCGUGGAGGAUGAAGUCCUUGGGGAGGUAAACUCCUAUCUACCCGUACGAUAA